CGUAGAGUAGAGCAGCCCGGCAGCUCGCCACGCUCAUAACGUGGAGGUCGUUGGUUCAAAUCCAACCUCUGCAACCA
This 77-nucleotide transfer RNA is filed under the name Patescibacteria group bacterium. RNAcentral's name for it is "tRNA-Met". It matches the Rfam family "tRNA". Rfam says of the family: Transfer RNA (tRNA) molecules are approximately 80 nucleotides in length. Their secondary structure includes four short double-helical elements and three loops (D, anti-codon, and T loops). Further hydrogen bonds mediate the characteristic L-shaped molecular structure. tRNAs have two regions of fundamental functional importance: the anti-codon, which is responsible for specific mRNA codon recognition, and the 3' end, to which the tRNAs corresponding amino acid is attached (by aminoacyl-tRNA synthetases). tRNAs cope with the degeneracy of the genetic code in two manners: having more than one tRNA (with a specific anti-codon) for a particular amino acid; and 'wobble' base-pairing, i.e. permitting non-standard base-pairing at the 3rd anti-codon position. The record is from RNAcentral.